UAGGGAAUCUUCCGCAAUGGACGAAAGUCUGACGGAGCAACGCCGCGUGAGUGAAGAAGGAUUUCGGUUCGUAAAACUCUGUUGUUAGGGAAGAAAAAAUGUAUAGUAACUAUAUACAAAAGAGACGGUACCUAACCAGAAAGCCACGGCUAACUACGUGCCAGCAUCCGCGGUAAUACGUAGGUGGCAAGCGUUGUCCGGAAUUAUUGGGCGUAAAGCGCGCGCAGGUGGUUUAGAAAGUCUGAUGUGAAAGCCCACGGCUCAACCGUGGAGGGUCAUUGGAAACUAAUAAACUUGAGUGCAGGAGAGAAAAGUGGAAUUCCUAGUGUAGCGGUGAAAUGCGUAGAGAUUAGGAGGAACACCGGUGGCGAAAGCGGCUUUUUGGCCUGCAACUGACGCUGAGGCGCGAAAGCGUGGGGAGCAAACAGG
This 429-nucleotide ribosomal RNA is filed under the name Verrucomicrobiota bacterium. RNAcentral describes it as "Verrucomicrobia bacterium partial 16S ribosomal RNA". It matches the Rfam family "Bacterial small subunit ribosomal RNA", at positions 355 to 776 of the family's 1533-position model. Lineage: Bacteria; Pseudomonadati; Verrucomicrobiota. The record is from RNAcentral.